Molecule: ribosomal RNA, 512 nt
Filed under: uncultured bacterium
Lineage: Bacteria
Description: partial 16S ribosomal RNA
Rfam family: Bacterial small subunit ribosomal RNA
Source: RNAcentral
GACGAACGCUGGCGGCGUGCCUAAUACAUGCAAGUCGAGCGAAUCACUGGGAGCUUGCUCCCGGUGGUUAGCGGUGGACGGGUGAGUAACACGUGGGCAACCUGCCUGUAAGACUGGGAUAACACCGGGAAACCGGUGCUAAUACCGGAUAAUCCUUUCCUGCACAUGCAGGAAAGCUGAAAGUCGGUUUCGGCUGACACUUACAGAUGGGCCCGCGGCGCAUUAGCUAGUUGGUGAGGUAACGGCUCACCAAGGCGACGAUGCGUAGCCGACCAGAGAGGGUGCUCGGCCACACUGGGACUGAGACACGGCCCAGACUCCUACGGGAGGCAGCAGUAGGGAAUCUUCCACAAUGGACGAAAGUCUGAUGGAGCAACGCCGCGUGGGCGAUGAAGGCCUUCGGGUCGUAAAGCUCUGUUGUUAGGGAAGAACAAGUACCGGAGUAACUGCCGGUACCUUGACGGUACCUAACCAGAAAGCCACGGCUAACUACGUGCCAGCCGCCGCCGUAA